UACGAAGGGGGCUAGCGUUGCUCGGAAUUACUGGGCGUAAAGGGUUCGUAGGUGGCUUGUUAAGUCAGACGUGAAAUCCCUCGGCUCAACCGGGGAACUGCGUCUGAGACUGAUGAGCUCGAGUGCAGGAGAGGAACGCGGAAUUCCAGGUGUAGCGGUGAAAUGCGUAGAUAUCUGGAGGAACACCGGUGGCGAAGGCGGCGUUCUGGACUGCAACUGACACUGAGGAACGAAAGCCAGGGGAGCAAACGGG
This 253-nucleotide ribosomal RNA is filed under the name uncultured bacterium. RNAcentral describes it as "partial 16S ribosomal RNA". It matches the Rfam family "Bacterial small subunit ribosomal RNA", at positions 524 to 776 of the family's 1533-position model. The record is from RNAcentral.